This is a long non-coding RNA of Peromyscus eremicus (cactus mouse), 441 nucleotides long. RefSeq lists it as uncharacterized. The record is from RefSeq and is a predicted model, not a curated record. Lineage: Eukaryota; Metazoa; Chordata; Mammalia; Rodentia; Cricetidae. The transcript has 3 exons.
GAAGGUUACCCUGGCAACAGAGACAGGACAUCCAUGCUGAGUAGGGACAUAGACUAGUAGGAGGGGCAUGGAGACCAGGGUGAUUGUCUUGGGUACCAAGUCUGCCUUUCUGCUCCACAGCUGGGCACCUCAGCUCUACGGAGGAAGGAGGCCUGCAGAGAAUGGAGAAAAGAUACCAUUUGGAGUUACAAAGGGCUCUGGAGCACAGGUAAUGAGUGAAGAUGCAGCUGGGAAGCACCCCACUCUUCCAUGGCCCCCAGCACACGCUCCAUCCUCUGCUGCAGCCCUUACCUAGGUUCAGAGAAGUUAAGCUAUUGCCUAUGUCAUGAGCAGCAGGUUUGACCUUGGCAUUCAGUAGGUGCCCAAUGUAAUGAAGACUUUCUACAUACCUGUUCACAGCGGUUGCAUAGUACAGCCUUUCAGAGCAAGACAAAUUCACAC